AGGUAUAUAGCUCAAGUGGUAGAGUGCAUGCUCAUCAUGCAUGAGGUCCUAGGUUCAAUCCCCAGUACCUC
This is a transfer RNA of Camelus ferus (Wild Bactrian camel), 71 nucleotides long. It matches the Rfam family "tRNA". From Rfam's summary of the family: Transfer RNA (tRNA) molecules are approximately 80 nucleotides in length. Their secondary structure includes four short double-helical elements and three loops (D, anti-codon, and T loops). The record is from Rfam. Lineage: Eukaryota; Metazoa; Chordata; Mammalia; Artiodactyla; Camelidae.